This 428-nucleotide ribosomal RNA is filed under the name uncultured bacterium. RNAcentral's name for it is "partial 16S ribosomal RNA". It matches the Rfam family "Bacterial small subunit ribosomal RNA", at positions 354 to 796 of the family's 1533-position model. The record is from RNAcentral.
GUGGGGAAUAUUGGGCAAUGGGGGAAACCCUGACCCAGCAACGCCGCGUGAGGGAAGAAGGUUUUCGGAUUGUAAACCUCUGUCCUUGGUGACGAAGGAAGUGACGGUAACCAAGGAGGAAGCCCCGGCUAACUACGUGCCAGCAGCCGCGGUAAUACGUAGGGGGCAAGCGUUGUCCGGAAUGACUGGGCGUAAAGGGCGUGUAGGCGGCCGAUUAAGUCUGGAGUGAAAGUCCUGCUUUCAAGGUGGGAAUUGCUUUGGAGACUGGUUGGCUUGAGUGCGGAAGAGGUAAGUGGAAUUCCCAGUGUAGCGGUGAAAUGCGUAGAGAUUGGGAGGAACACCAGUGGCGAAGGCGGCUUCCUGGCACAAUACUGACGCUCAUGUGCGAAAGCUAGGGCAGCGAACGGGAUUAGAAACCCCGGUAGUCC